This 1371-nucleotide ribosomal RNA is filed under the name uncultured bacterium. RNAcentral describes it as "bacterial SSU rRNA". It matches the Rfam family "Bacterial small subunit ribosomal RNA", at positions 28 to 1381 of the family's 1533-position model. The record is from RNAcentral.
GAUGAACGCUGGCGGCGUGCCUAAUACAUGCAAGUCGAGCGAACGGACGAGAAGCUUGCUUCUCUGAUGUUAGCGGCGGACGGGUGAGUAACACGUGGAUAACCUACCUAUAAGACUGGGAUAACUUCGGGAAACCGGAGCUAAUACCGGAUAAUAUUUUGAACCGCAUGGUUCAAAAGUAAAAGACGGUCUUGCUGUCACUUAUAGAUGGAUCCGCGCUGCAUUAGCUAGUUGGUAAGGUAACGGCUUACCAAGGCACCGAUGCAUAGCCGACCUGAGAGGGUGAUCGGCCACACUGGAACUGAGACACGGUCCAGACUCCUACGGGAGGCAGCAGUAGGGAAUCUUCCGCAAUGGGCGAAAGCCUGACGGAACAACCCCGCGUGAGUGAUGAAGGUCUUCGGAUCGUAAAACUCUGUUAUUAGGGAAGAAUAUAUGUGUAAGUAACUGUGCACAUCUUGACGGUACCUAAUCCGAAAGCCACGGCUAACUACGUGCCAGCAGCCGCGGUAAUACCUAAGUGGCAAGCGUUAUCCGGAAUUAUUGGGCGUAAAGCGCGCGUAGGCGGUUUUUUAGUCUGAUGUGAAAGCCCACGGCUCAACCGGGGAGGGUCAUUGGAAACUGGAAAACUUGAGUGCAGAAGAGGAAAGUGGAAUUCCAUGUGUAGCGGUGAAAUGCGCAGAGAUAUGGAGGAACACCAGUGGCGAAGGCGACUUUCUGGUCCGUAACUGACGCUGAUGUGCGAAAGCGUGGGGAUCAAACAGGAUUAGAUACCCUGGUAGUCCACGCCGUAAACGAUGAGUGCUAAGUGUUAGGGGGUUUCCGCCCCUUAGUGCUGCAGCUAACGCAUUAAGCACUCCGCCUGGGGAGUACGACCGCAAGGUUGAAACUCAAAGGAAUUGACGGGGACCCGCACAAGCGGUGGAGCAUGUGGUUUAAUUCGAAGCAACGCGAAGAACCUUACCAAAUCUUGACAUCCUUUGACAACUCUAGAGAUAGAGCCUUCCCCUUCGGGGGACAAAGUGACAGGUGGUGCAUGGUUGUCGUCAGCUCGUGUCGUGAGAUGUUGGGUUAAGUCCCGCAACGAGCGCAACCCUUAAGCUUAGUUGCCAUCAUUAAGUUGGGCACUCUAAGUUGACUGCCGGUGACAAACCGGAGGAAGGUGGGGAUGACGUCAAAUCAUCAUGCCCCUUAUGAUUUGGGCUACACACGUGCUACAAUGGACAAUACAAAGGGCAGCGAAACCGCGAGGUCAAGCAAAUCCCAUAAAGUUGUUCUCAGUUCGGAUUGUAGUCUGCAACUCGACUACAUGAAGCUGGAAUCGCUAGUAAUCGUAGAUCAGCAUGCUACGGUGAAUACGUUCCCGGGUCU